UUUAUGGAGAGUUUGAUCCUGGCUCAGGAUGAACGCUGGCGGCGUGCCUAAUACAUGCAAGUCGAGCGAACGGACGAGAAGCUUGCUUCUCUGAUGUUAGCGGCGGACGGGUGAGUAACACGUGGAUAACCUACCUAUAAGACUGGGAUAACUUCGGGAAACCGGAGCUAAUACCGGAUAAUAUUUUGAACCGCAUGGUUCAAAAGUGAAAGACGGUCUUGCUGUCACUUAUAGAUGGAUCCGCGCUGCAUUAGCUAGUUGGUAAGGUAACGGCUUACCAAGGCAACGAUGCAUAGCCGACCUGAGAGGGUGAUCGGCCACACUGGAACUGAGACACGGUCCAGACUCCUACGGGAGGCAGCAGUAGGGAAUCUUCCGCAAUGGGCGAAAGCCUGACGGAGCAACGCCGCGUGAGUGAUGAAGGUCUUCGGAUCGUAAAACUCUGUUAUUAGGGAAGAACAUAUGUGUAAGUAACUGUGCACAUCUUGACGGUACCUAAUCAGAAAGCCACGGCUAACUACGUGCCAGCAGCCGCGGUAAUACGUAGGUGGCAAGCGUUAUCCGGAAUUAUUGGGCGUAAAGCGCGCGUAGGCGGUUUUUUAAGUCUGAUGUGAAAGCCCACGGCUCAACCGUGGAGGGUCAUUGGAAACUGGAAAACUUGAGUGCAGAAGAGGAAAGUGGAAUUCCAUGUGUAGCGGUGAAAUGCGCAGAGAUAUGGAGGAACACCAGUGGCGAAGGCGACUUUCUGGUCUGUAACUGACGCUGAUGUGCGAAAGCGUGGGGAUCAAACAGGAUUAGAUACCCUGGUAGUCCACGCCGUAAACGAUGAGUGCUAAGUGUUAGGGGGUUUCCGCCCCUUAGUGCUGCAGCUAACGCAUUAAGCACUCCGCCUGGGGAGUACGACCGCAAGGUUGAAACUCAAAGGAAUUGACGGGGACCCGCACAAGCGGUGGAGCAUGUGGUUUAAUUCGAAGCAACGCGAAGAACCUUACCAAAUCUUGACAUCCUUUGACAACUCUAGAGAUAGAGCCUUCCCCUUCGGGGGACAAAGUGACAGGUGGUGCAUGGUUGUCGUCAGCUCGUGUCGUGAGAUGUUGGGUUAAGUCCCGCAACGAGCGCAACCCUUAAGCUUAGUUGCCAUCAUUAAGUUGGGCACUCUAAGUUGACUGCCGGUGACAAACCGGAGGAAGGUGGGGAUGACGUCAAAUCAUCAUGCCCCUUAUGAUUUGGGCUACACACGUGCUACAAUGGACAAUACAAAGGGCAGCGAAACCGCGA
This 1278-nucleotide ribosomal RNA is filed under the name Staphylococcus aureus. Its description in RNAcentral is "bacterial SSU rRNA". It matches the Rfam family "Bacterial small subunit ribosomal RNA", at positions 1 to 1260 of the family's 1533-position model. Lineage: Bacteria; Bacillati; Bacillota; Bacilli; Caryophanales; Staphylococcaceae. The record is from RNAcentral.